Molecule: ribosomal RNA, 497 nt
Filed under: uncultured bacterium
Lineage: Bacteria
Description: partial 16S ribosomal RNA
Rfam family: Bacterial small subunit ribosomal RNA
Source: RNAcentral
GAUGAACGCUGGCGGCGUGCCUAAUACAUGCAAGUCGAGCGAACGGACGUGUAUCUUGCUUCUCUGAUGUUAGCGGCUGAUGGGUGAGUAACACGUGGAUAACCUACCUUGAAUACUGGGAUAACUGCGGGAAACCGGAGCUAAUACCGGAUGAUAUGUGGUACUGCAUGGUUCAAAAGUGAAAGACUGUGUUUGUUUGCGUUAUAGUGUGGUCCGCGCUGCAUUAGCUAGUUUGUAAGGGUGCGGCUUACCAAGGCAACGAUGCAUAGCCGACCUGAGAGGGUGAUCGGCCACACUGGAACUGAGACACGGUCCAGACUCCUACGGGAGCACGCAGUAGGCACACUUCCGCAAUGGGCGAAAGCCUGACGGAGCAACGCCGCGUGAGAGAUGAAGGAACUCGGAUCGUAAAACUCUGUUAUUAGGGAAGACAAAAAAUGUAAGUAACUGUGCACAUCUUGACGGUACCUAAUCAGAAAGCCACGGCUAACUACGUG